UAUAAUUGUCGGGAUGCCCCAAAACAUUAGGAGCAUAAAAAAUCCAAAUGGAAAAAAAGAUAGCAAAAGCUACCCAACCUACUAGAUCCUUUACAUAAAAAUAAGUGAUCUUGAUCUCAACAAGAGGUAAAACGCAUACUAAGUACCAAACAUACCUUCUGAACAAGUAAAGAACUAGAUGUAUUUACUAUAUGCUUUACAUAAAAAUAAGGGUAAGAAGCAAUUUUAUCCAUCUAUGAAUGUACACCCAAUGGAUUAUUGGAUCCAUAUUGAUGCAAUGCGACCAGAUGAAGAAGACUGGCGCCUACUAAAAUAAAGGGGAGUAAAUGAUGAAGACUAAAAA
RNAcentral lists this long non-coding RNA (343 nucleotides) under Nicotiana benthamiana. Its description in RNAcentral is "long non-coding RNA (NBEN_LNC013129)". The record is from RNAcentral. Lineage: Eukaryota; Viridiplantae; Streptophyta; Magnoliopsida; Solanales; Solanaceae.